Molecule: ribosomal RNA, 377 nt
Filed under: uncultured delta proteobacterium
Lineage: Bacteria; Deltaproteobacteria
Description: bacterial SSU rRNA
Rfam family: Bacterial small subunit ribosomal RNA
Source: RNAcentral
UAAUACGGAGGGCGCGAGCGUUAUUCGGAAUCAUUGGGCGUAAAGCGCGUGUAGGCGGCUGGGCAAGUCGGAUGUGAAAGCCCGGGGCUCAACCCCGGAAUUGCAUUCGAAACUGCUCAGCUAGAGUCUCGGAGAGGAGGGCGGAAUUCCCGGUGUAGAGGUGAAAUUCGUAGAUAUCGGGAGGAACACCAGUGGCGAAGGCGGCCCUCUGGACGAUGACUGACGCUGAGACGCGAAAGCGUGGGGAGCAAACAGGAUUAGAUACCCUGGUAGUCCACGCCGUAAACGUUGGGUGCUAGGUGUCGCGGGUAUUGACCCCUGCGGUGCCGUCGUUAACGCAUUUAGCACCCCGCCUGGGGAGUACGGUCGCAAGACUA